This 500-nucleotide ribosomal RNA is filed under the name uncultured bacterium. Its description in RNAcentral is "partial 16S ribosomal RNA". It matches the Rfam family "Bacterial small subunit ribosomal RNA", at positions 30 to 523 of the family's 1533-position model. The record is from RNAcentral.
AUUGAACGCUGGCGGAAUGCUUUACACAUGCAAGUCGAACGGCAGCACGGACUUCGGUCUGGUGGCGGGUGGCGAACGGGUGAGUAAUAUAUCGGAACGUGCCCAGUCGUGGGGGAUAACGUAGCGAAAGCUACGCUAAUACCGCAUACGAUCUACGGAUGAAAGCGGGGGAUCGCAAGACCUCGCGCGAUUGGAGCGGCCGAUAUCAGAUUAGGUAGUUGGUGAGGUAAAGGCUCACCAAGCCGACGAUCUGUAGCUGGUCUGAGAGGACGACCAGCCACACUGGGACUGAGACACGGCCCAGACUCCUACGGGAGGCAGCAGUGGGGAAUUUUGGACAAUGGACGCAAGUCUGAUCCAGCCAUUCCGCGUGCAGGACGAAGGCCUUCGGGUUGUAAACUGCUUUUGUACAGAACGAAAAGGUCUCUAUUAAUACUAGGGGCUCAUGACGGUACUGUAAGAAUAAGCACCGGCUAACUACGUGCCAGCCGCCGCCGUAA